This 503-nucleotide ribosomal RNA is filed under the name uncultured bacterium. RNAcentral describes it as "partial 16S ribosomal RNA". It matches the Rfam family "Bacterial small subunit ribosomal RNA", at positions 28 to 523 of the family's 1533-position model. The record is from RNAcentral.
GAUGAACGCUAGCUACAGGCUUAACACAUGCAAGUCGAGGGGCAGCAUAUUUAUAGCAAUAUAAAUGAUGGCGACCGGCGCACGGGUGAGUAACACGUAUCCAACCUGCCGUUUACUCGGGGAUAGCCUUUCGAAAGAAAGAUUAAUACCCGAUGGUAUAUAUUGAUUUCAUGGUCUUUAUAUUAAAGAAUUUCGGUAAACGAUGGGGAUGCGUUCCAUUAGGCAGUUGGCGGGGUAACGGCCCACCAAACCUACGAUGGAUAGGGGUUCUGAGAGGAAGGUCCCCCACAAUGGAACUGAGACACGGUCCAAACUCCUACGGGAGGCAGCAGUGAGGAAUAUUGGUCAAUGGGCGUAGGCCUGAACCAGCCAAGUAGCGUGAAGGAUGACUGCCCUAUGGGUUGUAAACUUCUUUUAUAAGGGAAUAAAGUGGAGUAUGUAUACUCUUUUGUAUGUACCUUAUGAAUAAGGAUCGGCUAACUCCGUGCCAGCCGCCGCCGUAA